This 695-nucleotide ribosomal RNA is filed under the name uncultured bacterium. RNAcentral describes it as "bacterial SSU rRNA". It matches the Rfam family "Bacterial small subunit ribosomal RNA", at positions 32 to 715 of the family's 1533-position model. The record is from RNAcentral.
AACGCUAGCUACAGGCUUAACACAUGCAAGUCGAGGGGAAACGACAUCGAAAGCUUGCUUUUGGUGGGCGUCGACCGGCGCACGGGUGAGUAACGCGUAUCCAACCUGCCCACCACUUGGGGAUAACCUUGCGAAAGUAAGACUAAUACCCAAUGAUAUCCCACGAAGGCAUCCGAAUGGGAUUAAAGAUUUAUCGGUGAUGGAUGGGGAUGCGUCUGAUUAGCUUGUUGGCGGGGUAACGGCCCACCAAGGCGACGAUCAGUAGGGGUUCUGAGAGGAAGGUCCCCCACAUUGGAACUGAGACACGGUCCAAACUCCUACGGGAGGCAGCAGUGAGGAAUAUUGGUCAAUGGGCGAGAGCCUGAACCAGCCAAGUAGCGUGCAGGACGACGGCCCUAUGGGUUGUAAACUGCUUUUAUAAGGGAAUAAAGUGAGUCUCGUGAGACUUUUUGCAUGUACCUUAUGAAUAAGGACCGGCUAAUUCCGUGCCAGCAGCCGCGGUAAUACGGAAGGUCGGGCGUUAUCCGGAUUUAUUGGGUUUAAAGGGAGCGUAGGCCGGAGAUUAAGCGUGUUGUGAAAUGUAGUGGCUCAACCUCUGCACUGCAGCGCGAACUGGUCUUCUUGAGUACGCACAACGUGGGCGGAAUUCGUGGUGUAGCGGUGAAAUGCUUAGAUAUCACGAAGAACUCCGAUUG